CAUCCACUAAUCUCAGAGCAAAUUUAGCCCACUCUAUAAAUUUGGCUUCAUAUUCAAUCACACUCAUACUUCUCUGUUUCAAAUAAAUAAACUCUUGCUCUUUCUGAGUUCUUAUGCUCCAAAAAAAAUAUUGAUCAUAAAAUGUGAUCUAGAACCUCUCUCAAGUGAGUCGUUCCCUAUCUUGUUCAUAUUUUCAUUCUAAUCGCUGCCACCAG
This 215-nucleotide long non-coding RNA is filed under the name Elaeis guineensis (African oil palm). RNAcentral's name for it is "long non-coding RNA (EGUI_LNC003145)". Lineage: Eukaryota; Viridiplantae; Streptophyta; Magnoliopsida; Arecales; Arecaceae. The record is from RNAcentral.